CAAAGUGCUGCUAUUGCAGGUAGUAGAAACGUGUUCUGAUCUACUGCAAUGGCGGCACUUGUGGC
Molecule: microRNA precursor, 65 nt
Filed under: Eptatretus burgeri (inshore hagfish)
Lineage: Eukaryota; Metazoa; Chordata; Myxini; Myxiniformes; Myxinidae
Description: Ebu-Mir-17-P1e_pre stem-loop
Rfam family: mir-17 microRNA precursor family
About the family: This family represents the microRNA (miRNA) precursor mir-17, family, which includes mir-20, mir-91, and mir-103. miRNAs are transcribed as ~70nt precursors (modelled here) and subsequently processed by the Dicer enzyme to give a ~22nt product. In this case the mature sequence comes from the 3' arm of the precursor.
Source: RNAcentral